Molecule: RNA transcript, 7747 nt
Organism: Orcinus orca (killer whale)
Lineage: Eukaryota; Metazoa; Chordata; Mammalia; Artiodactyla; Delphinidae
Gene: ZNF580
Gene name: zinc finger protein 580
Exons: 3
Source: RefSeq, a predicted model, not a curated record
GAGAGUUGGCCUCCGAAGGUGGGAACUAAAGACGCAAAAGAAAAGACUCUCUGGCCAAGGGUUGGGGGUUUUGGCGUGGGGUGUUGGGCCUCCGCGUCUCGCUUAGUCACUAUCACCGUGCCCUUGAGCAAUGAACUCCCUCUCUGCAUCUCAGUUUUCUCACAGAAUACUGAACGGAUUAACCUCUUAGAGAAAUUAAAUAAAAUCACGUAUGAAAGUACCUAGCAUAAUAAUGUCUUUGCACGGACAGUAUGUAACACGUGGGAAGUAAUGCUAGUAUAUUUUCGCAUGUUGACUCCUUUCUGCAGCUCUGAAAUUCUUGAGGGCAUUAAAACCAGGCAUUUGAGCAUUAACACCAAGAUUUUGGAGGGUUUUCUCAAUCCCCACCGCCCCUUCCGUAGCUCAAACCUCGUUCUUCCUCAUGUAGGUUUCAGCACCAGACUGUUCCAUAGUCCCCCAGCUUCCACUCUCUAGCCCGCCAACAUAACCAAACAGACCUUUAAAAAAUUUGGAACUAAUCUUGUCCUUUCCCAGCUCAAAAUCCUUCCACGGCAAGAGGGCUUACCGCAAGACAAAAAUCCCAACUCUUCUGCCUGGAGUUGGAAGCCCUGCAUGUUGUAGUGCCCGCCAAGCUCUCCAGCCUCCUCUCUCAUCAUUUGAGACACACGUGUGUCACACCCCCACUGAAACACUCACACUUUCAUUUCUCCAGGCGCCAGGUCUUAGGCUGGUCUUGCUGCCCAGAGUAACCUUUCCUGGGGGAUCCUGGCCAUUUUUUCAGGCCUUAUUUCCUCCAGAAAGCAACCUCUGACUCCUGCCUACCUCAGGCUCCCAGGCUGGGUGAGGCACCCCUUCAGGCUGCCAGUUCCACCGGAAUGCCUGUGAAGCCCUCACAUGAUAGUUCCCUGACUAGCUCCAGACUCUCCUGUGAUGCCUGCAGCACAAACUCCAUGUUCUUCAGUCUGGUCUUUGUUGUCUCCAGUCAGCAUCGUCCCUGGCUGGGCACAUGAUGCUUAGUCACUCUGAAAGAAGAAUAGUUGGGCUGUUUUCUGUCCUGGCUAACUCUCUUGUCCUCCAAGACUGAACUCAGGUGUCACCUCCAGGAAAACUUUCCAAUUAUUUUUCUUUUAGUUUUUUGGCCACACUGCACAGCUUGCGGGAUCUUAGUUCCCCGACCAGCGAUGAGCCCAUGCCCCUUGCAGUGGAAGCGUGGAGUCCUAACCACUGGACGGCUAGGGAAUUCCCAAACUUUCCAGUUCUAUACUCCUCCCCCAGUUGGGUCCUGAGCCCCUUCUGGCCCCCUGGAGUGCCCUGUCAUUGCACUUAUGACCUUACAUUGUAGCUGCCUGUUUGUUAGUUGGCCUCCUCUAGAUUUGUCUGUCCAGUAUGGUAGUCACCAGCCAUGCAUCGGUAUUGAGCGCUUGAAAUAGGAUUAGGCCAAGUGGAGAUGUACUGUAAGGUGGCAGCUGACCACUACUAGCAAAUACUGUUUUGAGAAUGGCUGGUGCUGGCCUUGAGUCUGAUGCAGUUCGGAAGAUUCAAGUUCUCAGUGAUGCAGGAACGUGUCUGAAACCACAUCUACAAUGGCCACCCAGCUUCAUUUUGGAUGCCUGAACCAUAGUGACUCCAUUUUGAUUUUUUUUCCUUUCACUUAUUAAUCUUUUAAAUUAAUUUUUAUUGGAGGAUAGUUGCUUUACAAUGUUGUGUUAGUUUCUUGCUGUACAGCAAAGUGAAUCAGUCAUACAUAUACAUAUAUCCACUCUUUUUUAGAUUCCCUUCCCAUCUGGGUCACCACAGACCAUUGAGUAGAGUUCCCUGUGCUAUACAGUAGGUUCUCAUUAGUUAUCUAUUUUAGACAUAGUGGUGUAUAUAUGUCAAUCCCAAUCUCUCAGUUCACCCCCUCCCCCCAUUUUGAUUUUAAAUGCGUUCUUUUCUUUAAUGGGUAACGCAGCUGUGCAGUGUACAUUUGACAGGCCAUAAGACAGGCUGUUCUGGUUAGCAUAAAGUUCAAGUCAAAUCAUGUAUCAGCCAGAAGGACUUCCCCGUACCUCAACGUAUGAAAAUUUCUUCCAUCAUAACUUACAUCUCGAUAUAGAAAAAUAAAAUUAAAAGGAAAAACAAAGAAUGGUGGCCUCUCCAUGACAGAUGGGGAAACUGAGUCACCAAACAGGGAAUGGUGUCACACAAUGUUCUUCAGAUUUCCCUGGAGAAGGGACUUCCCUGGUGGACCAGUGGUUAGGGCUCGGUGCUUUCACUGCCUUGGACCUGGGUUCAACCCCUGGUCGGGGAGCUAAGAUCCCACAAGCCUCUCGACCAGAAUUGGAACCCUACUGCUUCUAAGCUGCCUCAUUAACAUCUGGUGUUUGCUAUGAAAUCCGCAUGGAAUGCCUAAUCCUUCUAGACAGUCUGUACUGAGGCCAGAAGGGACUCUUCAUGACUUUACAGGGCUCCUUGCGGGUGGGAGCUCGGAAGCCCAGCCUUCUGGUUUUCCCUUGCCAGCAUCUACAGCUAGCCUUGAGGGCUGUUUCACACUCAGGCAACUCUUUCCCUAAACUUCUUUUAGCUUCAAUCCUGUAACUCUCGAGGGCCAUAGAACAAUUUCCCCAUAAUGAAGAUAUUAGAGUUUUUUUGUUUGCACAGCGCAGCAAGCGGGAUCUUAGUGCCCCGACCAGGGAAGCACGGAGUCUUAACCACUGGACCGCCAGGGAAGUCCAAAAUGAAGAUAUUGGGAUGAGAAAGUGUAAAGAUCUCCCCGCUUUAGGAUUUAGGAUGUAAUCCUGGCUCUGGCACCCCCUUGCUCUGGGACCAUCAGCGUCUCACGUAACCUCUCUGGGCCUCAGUUUCCUCAUCUGCGAAGCACUAGGACUGAAUUUGAGACAGCUUCUUGUUUGAAGUCCUCCUCUCGGGCUCAGUCAGAUUCUUUAGGGACGCUGUCCGUCGUUGAGCUUGUCUCGUGAAUGUCAUCCCUACCUGCUUCUCCCAGGUGCUAAGGUGGGGGCAGACAUUUCAAUAUUUUGGUCUCUGUCGCCCCCAGGAGGCUUAGGAGAGUUCCUUGUCGCAGCAGGUGUGCAAUACAGAUAACAUUUGUUGCCUCUAAGGUAGAGAAAGGCAGGGACUACCUCAGUCUGGUUGGUUCAUGUUUUUACCCCCGGAAGCUGGCGUAUGGGAGACACUAAACAAAUAUUUGUUGAAUGAAUGACAGAGAUUCAGGCCAGUGGAACAGAAGGCACUUGGAAUCCUUCCUUUGAGGGUUUGUGUUUCCGGCCGGAAGGCUUUCUUGUGAACCCCAUCCCUCUCCUGGCUGGUCGGAGCGCUGCGGCUCCACUUAGGGCUCCCGGAAGGUUUAAUCUCUUCGCCUCCUGCAUCCCGGGAUCAGACUCUCGGGAGGCCUCUCCUCAUAACUCACGGACAGCAAAGGCCAUGCCUGGAGGAGGGGUCCAGGAGCACGAGGACGGCUUCUUCUCUGAUUCAAGGAUGACCAUGACUGGGACUUCCCUGGCGGUCCAGUGGUUAAGACUCCGUGCUUCCACUGCAGGGGGCGCAGGUUCGAUCCCUGGUCAGGGAACUAAGAUUCCGCAUGCUGUGCAACGUGCCCCCCCCCAAAAAAAGGAUGACUAUGACUUUUUCCUCAUCAACUGUGGGUUCCCCCACCCCAGUCAGGUGCUCCUCCCACAAGCCACAAGUUGGCCCUUCCUCCUCCUCUUUCUCUGGGCCUUCAGCCUCUGGCCGGAUGGGCAUACAAUACACCUACACACACACAGUGCGAGUGGAGAAGCCCAAUGACAAGCACGAAGUUUUGCCCAGCGUACAGCUGUCCCGAGUGCCUACAGGGCUUCCAGAAUGCUGUCUGUCUCAAGGCCUAUGGCCUCUCACAUCCGGUCAUCUGGGGCUUCAUCUCUGAGACUUGUGGCAAGGCCUUCCAAUGCCCCAGCAGUGUUUGCCAGCCUCAGCUCAUCUACUGGGCUCCCUGUACCUGCUCCUUCUGCCCCCGGCUGGUCAGGCUUGCCAGGGACCUGGUUCAGCAUGUCCUAGUGUAUUAGGGCAGACUGAGUCUCCUCCUAAUAUGGGCACAAAACUGAUGCCUUUGGGGAGCCACGUGCUGGGAAUCUUUUCCAAGUUGCCAGCGUCCAGCUUGAGAGAUGACGGUUGCAGAGCUAGACCCUGGCAUCUCUAGUGGGCAAGACAACACCCUUUUCUGGGCUAUUCUUGUUAAGACUGAAUGAUCUCCAGCCUUGGGGUGUGCUGCAAGUCUAUGGGUGGCAGGGGAAGCAGGAGAAAGUAGCAAGAAAGAUGCCCUCACCUCCCAGGGCCAUUACUGGUCUCCUUUUCCCCUUUAGCCUUACCCAAGAGGCAGGGACCCUGGGUUUUAACUGCACCAUGUGGGCUUUGUGACUGGUGGGUUCACUCUCUGGCCUCAAUAACCCAUUUAAAAACUAGGGAUGAAUUCUCUCCUCCCUGUCAGCGGCCAGAUGGUAGCAAUUUGCCAAAUCUGCUGAGACAUCUGUGUUCUUGUCUGGUUCUUCUUUGUUUCUUCCUCUCAGUUUUAAAACUGGGAAUGUCCCGGGACGCAUCUCAAACUCAGUCACCUAUUUUGUCCUCACCUGUGCUCGCAAGCUCAAGUGGUCACUUAUUGAUCACCACACACAUCCUACUGUGGCUUGAGGAAGCAGCUCAGGGUGAUGCAAAAAGAGAUGGGCCAGCUCCCAUCACACUUCUGCCCCAUGUGCUUACAAACGUGUAAGAGCCUGUUUUACCUCAGGUAGCAUCGUGUCCUGCACUCGGAACUCUGCCCCUAAGUGUGUGGCCCCUGUGGGAAGGCAUUCAAGUGCUCCAGCCACCGCAGCCAGCACCGGCUAACCCACCUGGGGUGGGUUGACCACUUUCCAGGGGGUAGCCCAAUGCAUCCUGGUGUAUUCAUCAGGGCAGGACUUCCUGGCUGGCUGUGGAGACUGAGGCCAGGAGUUCAGGUGUUCUCCAGACCCGGGUGUCACUUCCCUCCACCACUCCAGCCCUGUGGAGGGACUGGCAUCAUACAAGCCAGCCCCGACUAGCUGUGUGACCCAGGGCCGGUGACUACCCCCCUCUGGCCUUGGUUUUACCACCAACACAGAGAAUGAUACCUGACUCCAUUUUCUUGCCAUGUAACACAUUAAAUCACAAGGCCUGGGUUUCCUCAGCUGUCCCACCGGCUGAAUAAUUCUGGCUCUUUGUCUUUGCUGUGUAGCAGCCGACCAGUCACUAGCCCUUUCUGGUUUCGGUUCCUAUUUGUAGGUAGACGGUCUAUUUUCUUUCCUAUUGAAGAAAGUAUUUCUUAUUUUAGGACGACUAGUUUCUUCUCCAGCCCAGAAGGAUAAAGUGACUUUUUUUGUUUAAUGUGGAACUUUUUUUUUUAAAGUCUUUAUUGAGUUUGUUACAGUAUUGCUUCUGUUGUUUAUGUUUUGGUUUUAUGGCUGCCGGUCAUGUGGGAUCCUAGCUCCCAGACCAGGGAUCCAACUCAAACCCGCACCCCCUCCAUUGGAAGGCUGAGUCUUAACCACUGGACGGCCAGGGAAACCAUAGAUAAAGUGACUUUUAAAGAAAAGUCACAACUUUUCGGACAAAAAGCCAUCCCUUUUGUCUUCCCUCCCUCUGUAUCUACCACGUCGCCAAUGACUUUAUAUUGGCUUUUCUCCGCCUUAUUGCAGAGAAGUCAGGCGGGCAGACACCCGGAACCAUUGUUCGCGGGUGUUUGUUUCCCGCCGGGGCGGAUUUCUGGGGCCGCGUCUGGCCGAGACGGAGGUAGGAGUGGGAGCCGUCUCCGGGCUCUCCGAGUCCACCACCCCGCGCGGCGGACUUCCUGGGGCCGCCCCUCGAGCCGCUUCCCACCGCGCUCGGACCCGAGAGACCUCCGCACCGCGAGCCGGCGCCGGGAGGAUGCCGGGCAGCAGGCGCAGCACGUUCUGGACCACUUGGCUGGAAGGAAUUUCCUGGACCAUGGAGAGACUGCAGGGGCUCCAUAGAAUCUCUUGUUUCUGGUACAGAAGGUAGAGGCUGGGGUUUUGGCCUCACUGUUUACUUGCUGUGUGACCUGAGGCUGCGUUUCUGGGCCUCAGUUUCCUCAUCCUGAAAUAGGGAAUGGCUUGUGUUUCCCAGCCAUCCUGGCCAGGGGUGAGAUGCAGGAGUCUCUUGCUGAAUCCCUGACUGUGCACAGCCUCUGUUUAUAGCCUGAGAUAGAUCACCAUCCCAUUCUGGAACUCAGUUUCCCAAUCUGUAAGAUGGGAUAGAAUGAAACAUCCUUAUCAGGUGAGCUGCAAACUCACCUAAUACGAAGGUAGCGCCAACUGCUCCAUCACUUCUUUAUAGCAACUCGUGCCUGCUGAGACAGGUGCAGAUAACGUUAGUUAGUUUUGAUUCUUUUUUAAUUGCAGGGGUAGGGCUGGAACACAAGUGAGGUGGGAGCCUUUCCUCUGCGGUGUGAGUUAUUGGCUGGAGUGCUUUCCUAGGGCCACGUCCCUAGGUCCCAUUAGGGGACCGUGAGAUGCCAUGUGGGGCUGGGAUGAGGUGGAUUGGCUGGGCCACCUCAUGAAGGGCUUCAAAUCCCAGGCUGAGGAACGUGGGGACUUGGUCCUGAGGGUCAUGGGGGCCGUGACAAGAUUUUGUGCAGAGGUUACAUAUGAGACAGCUGUGAGAAGAGUGUCAAGGAGGGCGGGGGCAGUACUGGAGGCCAAGAUAGCAGGGAGAAGGCUGGUGCAGGGGCCCUGUGCAGGAAGGAGGGGCCAGAGCUGGGGCUUGGGGAGCAGAGGGGAACAUUCAGGAUGAGGGAGGGACAGAACUUGGUGCCUUCUGGCUUUGGGGAGUGUAGAAGGGGGGGGCGGGAUGAGGAUGUUAGAGCUUCAGACUGGUGUGGGUGUGCGGCUUCAUUAUGCUCCUGUCCCAGGAGAUAAGCGAGGCUUUUUGCGUUGGUGGGGAGAAAUGCUUUACCUUUGGACGGGGUGACUGAAUUCAUUCAUUCAGCCAAUACUGAACCGAGCCCCUACCCUCUCCCCAGACCUUUGCUAGGUUCUGAGGGUAGAAUGUUGCCUAGGACAGAGCGGGAAAAGCAGGCAGUAAAGUAGCAAAUCCAAAAACGAGCAAGACCACUACGGACUGCAGUACGAGAUGCGGAGGGAAUGGCCUGACCAGACGGAGCAGGGCCUCACCUGCUCACCAGCUUGAGCUCUGACACAACCAGCAGCCGCUUCAGUGACGAAGGAUUACUCGAGUUGAGACCUGAAUGGCCAGAAAGGGUGUGUCCUUGUGAAGGGCUGGGAGGAGUAUUCCAGAGGGCAGAACAGCAAACACAAGGCCCUGGAAGUAGGCCAGGUGGGCUGGCUGAGUUUUAUUCCAAGUGCAGCAAGGAGGGUUUUACGUCAGGUGAUGACAUGAUUCUGUGGGUUAGCGUAAUUAUACUGCUGCAGUGUUGCCAUAGAGAGAAGGGACGGGGGGGGGGGUUGCGGUGGGGAGGCUGUCAUGGUGAGCUGGGCCGGUGGCGGCAGUGGGUUGGGGAGAAGCAUGAGGUGCUUGCAGACAGUGGCCAUGAGCUCUGACUCGGUCAGUUAGAAGCACGUGCUGUCCAGCGGAUGUGUGACCUCUCGGAGCUCCUGUUUCCUCAUCUAUAAAAUAGGUAUCCGCAUGGCACCUCCCUCCUGGGUCUGCUCUGAGGGUUCAGUGCAUUUAGCGAUGGCUGGCACCAUAGGAAGGGCCCAAUAAACGUUGGUCCUUGUCAUUA